GAUAAAUGGCUGAGUGGUUUAAAGCACCAAUUUUGAAAAUUGGCAUAGUAUAUAGUUAUCGAAGGUUCGAAUCCUUCUUUAUCCAU
This 86-nucleotide transfer RNA is filed under the name Montagnia macrospora. RNAcentral's name for it is "tRNA-Ser". It matches the Rfam family "tRNA". Rfam says of the family: Transfer RNA (tRNA) molecules are approximately 80 nucleotides in length. Their secondary structure includes four short double-helical elements and three loops (D, anti-codon, and T loops). Further hydrogen bonds mediate the characteristic L-shaped molecular structure. tRNAs have two regions of fundamental functional importance: the anti-codon, which is responsible for specific mRNA codon recognition, and the 3' end, to which the tRNAs corresponding amino acid is attached (by aminoacyl-tRNA synthetases). tRNAs cope with the degeneracy of the genetic code in two manners: having more than one tRNA (with a specific anti-codon) for a particular amino acid; and 'wobble' base-pairing, i.e. permitting non-standard base-pairing at the 3rd anti-codon position. The record is from RNAcentral. Lineage: Eukaryota; Rhodophyta; Florideophyceae; Batrachospermales; Batrachospermaceae.